This 253-nucleotide unclassified non-coding RNA is filed under the name uncultured Pseudomonadaceae bacterium. Its description in RNAcentral is "contains 16S-23S intergenic spacer region". It matches the Rfam family "Bacterial small subunit ribosomal RNA", at positions 524 to 776 of the family's 1533-position model. Lineage: Bacteria; Pseudomonadati; Pseudomonadota; Gammaproteobacteria; Pseudomonadales; Pseudomonadaceae. The record is from RNAcentral.
UACAGAGGGUGCAAGCGUUAAUCGGAAUUACUGGGCGUAAAGCGCGCGUAGGCGGUUUGGUAAGUUGAAUGUGAAAGCCCCGGGCUCAACCUGGGAACUGCAUCCAAAACUGCCAGGCUAGAGUACAGUAGAGGGUGGUGGAAUUUCCUGUGUAGCGGUGAAAUGCGCAGAGAUAUGGAGGAACACCAGUGGCAAAGGCGACUACCUGGACUGAUACUGACACUGAGGUGCGAAAGCGUGGGGAGCAAACAGG